Molecule: ribosomal RNA, 253 nt
Filed under: uncultured bacterium
Lineage: Bacteria
Description: partial 16S ribosomal RNA
Rfam family: Bacterial small subunit ribosomal RNA
Source: RNAcentral
UACGAAGGGGGCGAGCGUUGUUCGGAUUUACUGGGCGUAAAGGGCGCGCAGGCGGCUUUGUUUGUCAGGCGUGAAAGCCCCGGGCUUAACCUGGGAACUGCGUUUGAUACGGCAGGGCUAGAGUUCGGGAGAGGAGAGUGGAAUUCCCAGUGUAGAGGUGAAAUUCGUAGAUAUUGGGAAGAACACCGGUGGCGAAGGCGGCUCUCUGGGACGGUACUGACACUGAGACGCGAAAGCGUGGGGAGCGAACAGG